UACGUAGGGGGCUAGCGUUGUCCGGAUUUAUUGGGCGUAAAGAGCGUGUAGGCGGCCAGGUAGGUCCGCUGUGAAAGUCCGAGGCUCAACCUCGGAAUGUCGGCGGAAACCCUCUGGCUAGAGUCCGGAAGAGGAGAGUGGAAUUCCCGGUGUAGCGGUGAAAUGCGCAGAUAUCGGGAGGAACACCGGUGGCGAAGGCGGUUCUCUGGAUCGGCCCUGACGGCUGAGGCGCGAAAGCGUGGGGAGCGAACGGG
Molecule: ribosomal RNA, 254 nt
Filed under: uncultured bacterium
Lineage: Bacteria
Description: partial 16S ribosomal RNA
Rfam family: Bacterial small subunit ribosomal RNA
Source: RNAcentral